This 253-nucleotide ribosomal RNA is filed under the name uncultured bacterium. RNAcentral describes it as "partial 16S ribosomal RNA". It matches the Rfam family "Bacterial small subunit ribosomal RNA", at positions 524 to 776 of the family's 1533-position model. The record is from RNAcentral.
UACGAAGGGGGCUAGCGUUGCUCGGAAUGACUGGGCGUAAAGGGCGCGUAGGCGGAUGGCACAGUCAGAUGUGAAAUUCCCGGGCUUAACCUGGGGGCUGCAUUUGAUACGUGUUGUCUAGAGUGAGGAAGAGGGUUGUGGAAUUCCCAGUGUAGAGGUGAAAUUCGUAGAUAUUGGGAAGAACACCGGUGGCGAAGGCGGCAACCUGGUCCUUGACUGACGCUGAGGCGCGAAAGCUAGGGGAGCAAACAGG